AGAACGAACGCUGGCGGCAUGCCUAACACAUGCAAGUCGAACGCUUGCCGGGCUUCGGUUCGGCAGGAGUGGCGCACGGGUGAGUAGCGCGUGGGAACCUGCCCUGUUGUGGGGGAUAACCGAGGGAAACUUCGGCUAAUACCGCAUGCGCCCCCGGGAGCGAUCCUGGGGGGAAAGAUUUAUCGCAGCAGGAGGGGCCCGCGUCGGAUUAGGUAGUUGGUGGGGUAACGGCCCACCAAGCCUGUGAUCCGUAGCUGGUCUGAGAGGAUGAUCAGCCACACUGGGACUGAGACACGGCCCAGACUCCUACGGGAGCAGCAGUGGGGAAUAUUGGACAAUGGGCGCAAGCCUGAUCCAGCAAUGCCGCGUGAGUGAUGAAGGCCUUAGAGUUGUAAAGCUCUUUCGCCGCGACGAUGAUGACGGUAGCGGGAGAAGAAGCCCCGGCUAACUUCGUGCCAGCAGCCGC
This 466-nucleotide ribosomal RNA is filed under the name uncultured bacterium. RNAcentral describes it as "SSU rRNA". It matches the Rfam family "Bacterial small subunit ribosomal RNA", at positions 26 to 518 of the family's 1533-position model. The record is from RNAcentral.